AGCCUCCCUCCCGAUCGGGGCCUCCGCGAAGUCCCCAGCCCCCAGGCACACUGGACACCAUCCGCAGAUGUGUGGGCGGGCGUGCGAGGCUUUGCCCCAGACUCUUCCACCGCACCGUUACACAAACCCUGAGGCGGAGGGGUGCGAGUGGCCCUGCCGUUUGAGGACAGGUUCACCUGCUGGUUAUUGUCGGUUUAAUCCCGGGAACUGAGCACCCGCACCUUUCUGGUUAAACACGCCUUUUCCUCCCGUUUUCUACAGNNNNNNNNNNNNNNNNNNNNNNNCCGGGGGGCCCCCCCCCCCCCCCAGUUCUUUACAGUUUUGCUCUAAAUAGCUGUGAAAGUUGCUUCUCCCUUCCCACACAGGGCAGGGUUACGGGAGCUGCACUGGUGACCGCCAUCACCCUUCAACUGGGGUCCCACCGUGGGGACACAGAGCUUCGCGUUGUCUGGUCUCCCACUCCUGCUGGUGGCACACUGCGUUCUUAGGCGCCUCAAGGUGGCAUUUUGACCUCCAGCCGGACAAGCUUUUGCCUGUUUCUUAUUUGUAGGAGCGACGCAUAGGUUUGUAUUUGUGAAGCUGAAGGAGGGGCGUGGUAGAGAAAUACACCGUGGAGACAAACAGGGAAUGACGCAUAGUGAGGCAAUUAUUUUCCCUUCUAUUUCACAAGAAAAUGAAGCCACCAGCCCAAAAUGCUUUCAACUUCCUGCCAUGAAGUUGACAAGCUCAUCAGAAGCUCCACCCUUGCCUUCUUUGCUCCUCUCUCAGAGCAGGAGGAGACCCCCUCCUCAGAAGCUGAGCUGCCACCUCUCUCUGGACCAUCUUCUACUACUUUCUGUAGACCUCAGUACCUCCCCAUCAGAAUGGAAACAUGUUCAUCUAUG
Molecule: long non-coding RNA, 884 nt
Filed under: Fukomys damarensis (Damara mole-rat)
Lineage: Eukaryota; Metazoa; Chordata; Mammalia; Rodentia; Bathyergidae
Description: lncRNA (ENSFDAG00000024523.1)
Source: RNAcentral